CAGUCGCCGCGGGAAUACGGAGGGUGCAAGCGUUAAUCGGAAUUACUGGGCGUAAAGCGCACGCAGGCGGUCUGUCAAGUCGGAUGUGAAAUCCCCGGGCUCAACCUGGGAACUGCAUUCGAAACUGGCAGGCUAGAGUCUUGUAGAGGGGGGUAGAAUUCCAGGUGUAGCGGUGAAAUGCGUAGAGAUCUGGAGGAAUACCGGUGGCGAAGGCGGCCCCCUGGACAAAGACUGACGCUCAGGUGCGAAAGCGUGGGGAGCAAACAGGAUUAGAUACCCGAGUAGUCCCUGUCUCUUAUAC
RNAcentral lists this ribosomal RNA (301 nucleotides) under uncultured bacterium. Its description in RNAcentral is "partial 16S ribosomal RNA". It matches the Rfam family "Bacterial small subunit ribosomal RNA", at positions 509 to 807 of the family's 1533-position model. The record is from RNAcentral.